GUUAGUCUAAGAAAGCACCACAUAUCGGUAACAGAUUCACUACUACAUUUAGAAAAUAUAUUUUGCACAAAACUAAAAGACUAAAUUCACCAUAUUAAUAAAAAAUUUAAUAAUGACAAUAUGCAUAGCUGCUCACUUGCACAUUGCCGCAUAUCUUAAUAAUGGCUGCCACCUCUAUCAUUUCUCUGCUCAAUCCUCUCCGUAUU
This is a non-coding RNA of Pelobates cultripes (western spadefoot toad), 206 nucleotides long. Lineage: Eukaryota; Metazoa; Chordata; Amphibia; Anura; Pelobatidae. The record is from the annotation of a GenBank genome assembly.